Molecule: non-coding RNA, 358 nt
Organism: Chiloscyllium plagiosum (whitespotted bambooshark)
Lineage: Eukaryota; Metazoa; Chordata; Chondrichthyes; Orectolobiformes; Hemiscylliidae
Source: RefSeq, a predicted model, not a curated record
CUGUAACUGGGCCAGUGGUGCAGUUUAAAUCCUGGUUCAACAUGUAAAUAGGAUUUCCACCAAACAUCUGGUGAAGUUGAAAUGAAACCCAGGUUACAAGGAUGGAAGUCACUCCUCUUUCCAGGACAGGUCUCUCCAGAGGAAAUACUUGAUCCCUACCUACCACUAAAUUACUGAAUGGAAAUGAUGUGCAAGGUUACAGAGAAAUGCACUGAGCCAUGAUGCUCACUUGGACCCCCAGUGCUGUAUCCUGGAUCUCCGUGCCAAGUAGUUUUGUCUUGACCACGUCCUGGACAAGUGGAUAUUAGUCAUCCCACCUCAGUGUUGGUUCCAUGGAGUUAUGUGCAGGUCAUCUUCA